CCGUACGACCAAGAGAUCGGAUAACACCUGGAAACAGAUGCUAAUACCGGAUAAUAACAGAUGAUGCCUAUCAACUGUUUAAAAGAUGGUUCUGCUAUCACUCUUGGAUGGACCUGCGGUGCAUUAGCUAGUUGGUAGGGUAACGGCCUACCAAGGCGAUGAUGCAUAGCCGAGUUGAGAGACUGAUCGGCCACAUUGGGACUGAGACACGGCCCAAACUCCUACGGGAGGCAGCAGAC
RNAcentral lists this ribosomal RNA (239 nucleotides) under uncultured Lactobacillus sp. RNAcentral's name for it is "partial 16S ribosomal RNA". It matches the Rfam family "Bacterial small subunit ribosomal RNA", at positions 125 to 354 of the family's 1533-position model. The record is from RNAcentral. Lineage: Bacteria; Bacillati; Bacillota; Bacilli; Lactobacillales; Lactobacillaceae.